UCCGGUUUGGCACCGGCAGUCUCUCUAGAGUCCCCGCCAUGACGCGCUGGCAACUAGAGACGAGGGUUGCGCUCGUUGCGGGACUUAACCCAACAUCUCACGACACGAGCUGACGACAGCCAUGCAGCACCUGUGCUAAGGCUCCGAAGAGGGCCCCCGGUUUCCCGGGGGUUUCCUUAGCAUGUCAAGCCCAGGUAAGGUUCUUCGCGUUGCGUCGAAUUAAACCACAUGCUCCACCGCUUGUGCGGGCCCCCGUCAAUUCCUUUGAGUUUCAGCCUUGCGGCCGUACUCCCCAGGCGGGGCACUUAAUGCGUUAGCGCCGGCACCCGGGGGGUCGCUCCCCCAAGCACCUAGUGCCCAUCGUUUACGGCGUGGACUAC
RNAcentral lists this unclassified non-coding RNA (380 nucleotides) under uncultured Gemmatimonadaceae bacterium. RNAcentral's name for it is "contains 16S-23S intergenic spacer region". The record is from RNAcentral. Lineage: Bacteria; Pseudomonadati; Gemmatimonadota; Gemmatimonadia; Gemmatimonadales; Gemmatimonadaceae.